This 328-nucleotide ribosomal RNA is filed under the name Coryphella verrucosa. RNAcentral describes it as "partial large subunit ribosomal RNA". It matches the Rfam family "Archaeal large subunit ribosomal RNA", at positions 2027 to 2627 of the family's 2987-position model. The record is from RNAcentral. Lineage: Eukaryota; Metazoa; Mollusca; Gastropoda; Nudibranchia; Coryphellidae.
GCUAAGGUAGCGUAAUCAGUUGGCUUUUAAAUGGAGUCAGGAAUGAAUGGGAAAACCGGGUUUAGCUGUCUCCCAACUAUUUUCUUGAAUUUACUGUUUAAGUGAAAAAGCUUAAAAAUGAUAAAGGGACGAGAAGACCCUUAGAAUUUUUUUUAAAAUGGAAAUUUUUCUAUAAUAAUUUUGUUGGGGCGACAGAGAAAUAUUCAAAACUUUCUUUAAAUUUACAUGCCGAUAUUGUUAAGUAAGAAUAAAUUACCUGAGGGAUAACAGCAUAAUUCUACAGUUGAGUUUGUGACCUCGAUGUUGGACUAGGAAACUAACAGGCUAG